Molecule: long non-coding RNA, 533 nt
Organism: Bos taurus (domestic cattle)
Lineage: Eukaryota; Metazoa; Chordata; Mammalia; Artiodactyla; Bovidae
Source: Ensembl
CUCAUCUCUCAUACCUGCAAACGCCACCCGGCUUUAUAGAUGCUGAAUUUUGGGGAACAGGACCUGAACUUUUCCCUUCUUGGCUCAGGCAGAUGCAGCACUGACCGGAGUGGAAUUUUGUUAAAGCCCUCGGGAUAGGUAUUGCCUUGCUGGUCCUGGCUCUGCCAACUCAAACUGUUGGAUCACAUGGACUUUGAAAGCACUGUUUCUGUCUGCUAUGACUUGUCAGGCUUUCCUUAUCCUUCAAGACUUGGCUUUGACCUCACGUAUUGCAACAAGCCUUUCAAGAACUCUGGUAUUGCAGGAAAUUCCAAGAUAUUCCUCGUGUGCCGCGACUACUGAGCCAGUGAGCCACAGUUACUUAAGCCCACGCACCUAGAGCUUGUGCUCCACCAGAGAAGCCACUGCAAUGAGAAGCCCUGGCAUUGCAGCUUGAGAGUAGCUCCCACUUUCCACAAUCAGAGGAAGACCUAGUGCAGCAACGAAGACCCAGUGCAGCCAAAAAUAAAAAUAAAUACAUUUUCAAAAGGUCG